UGAUGUAUAAACACAAUGGGGUCUAGUGAUGUAUAAACACAAUGGGGUCUAGUGACAGUCAACCUUCUCCCUGUAGUGAUGUAUAAACACAAUGGGGUCUAGUGAUGUAUAAACACAAUGGGGUCUAGUGACGGUCAACCUUGUCCCUGUAGGGAUGUAUAAACACAAUGGGGUCUAGUGAUGUAUAAACACAAUGGGGUCUAGUGAUGUAUAAACACAAUGGGGUCUAGUGACAGUCAACCUUGUCCCUGUAGGGAUGUAUAAACACAAUGGGGUCUAGUGACAGUCAACCUUGUCCCUGUAGGGAUGUAUAAACACAAUGGGGUCUAGUGACAGUCAACCUUCUCCCUGUAGGGAUGUAUAAA
Oncorhynchus tshawytscha (Chinook salmon) is the source of this 365-nucleotide long non-coding RNA. RefSeq lists it as uncharacterized. The transcript is spliced from 2 exons. Lineage: Eukaryota; Metazoa; Chordata; Actinopteri; Salmoniformes; Salmonidae. The record is from RefSeq and is a predicted model, not a curated record.